RNAcentral lists this ribosomal RNA (253 nucleotides) under uncultured bacterium. RNAcentral describes it as "partial 16S ribosomal RNA". It matches the Rfam family "Bacterial small subunit ribosomal RNA", at positions 524 to 776 of the family's 1533-position model. The record is from RNAcentral.
UACGAAGGGGGCUAGCGUUGCUCGGAAUCACCGGGCGUAAAGCGCACGUAGGCGGCUUUCUAAGUCAGGGGUGAAAUCCUGGAGCUCAACUCCAGAACUGCCUUUGAUACUGGAAAGCUUGAGUUCGGGAGAGGUGAGUGGGACUGCGAGUGUAGAGGUGAAAUUCGUAGAUAUUCGCAAGAACACCAGUGGCGAAGGCGGCUCACUGGCCCGAUACUGACGCUGAGGUGCGAAAGCGUGGGGAGCAAACAGG